AGUCAAUAGAUACCCAGGUAGUCCAUGCCGUAAACGAUGAUUGCUAGGUGUGGGGGGUCUGACCCCUUCCGUGCCGGAGUUAAACACAAUAAGCAAUCCACCUGGGGAGUACGGCCGCAAGGUUGAAACUCAAAGGAAUUGACGGGGGCCCGCACAAGCAGUGGAGUAUGUGGUUUAAAUUCGAAGCAACGCGAAGAACCUUACCAGGUCUUGACAUCCACCGAAUCCUGUAGAGAUACGGGAGUGCCCUUCGGGGAACGGUGAGACAGGUGGUGCAUGGUUGUCGUCAGCUCGUGUCGUGAGAUGUUGGGUUAAGUCCCGCAACGAGCGCAACCCUUGUGAAUAGUUGCUACGAAAGAGCACUCUAUUCAGACCGCCGUUGACAAACGGAGGAAGGUGGGGAUGACGUCAAAUCAUCAUGCCCCUUAUGACCUGGGCUACACACGUACUACAAUGGUCGUCAACAGAGGGAAGCAAGACCGCGAGGUGGAGCGAACCCCGUAAAAACCGAUCUCAGUUCAGAUUGCAGGCUGAAACUCG
RNAcentral lists this ribosomal RNA (540 nucleotides) under uncultured bacterium. RNAcentral's name for it is "bacterial SSU rRNA". It matches the Rfam family "Bacterial small subunit ribosomal RNA", at positions 775 to 1314 of the family's 1533-position model. The record is from RNAcentral.